Brassica napus (rape) is the source of this 2286-nucleotide long non-coding RNA. RefSeq lists it as uncharacterized. The record is from RefSeq and is a predicted model, not a curated record. Lineage: Eukaryota; Viridiplantae; Streptophyta; Magnoliopsida; Brassicales; Brassicaceae. The transcript is spliced from 5 exons.
ACCCAAACCUACGAAGAAUCCGUCGAUCGUUAUACCCCACCACUUCGUCUUCUCCGAUUGAAGAUCAUAAAAACUCAGAUCUAAUCGAAUCACUUCUCAGCAAUCAGUUCUCUUCUUUACUCAUGUCAAUCAAUACCUUUUUAAUGAGUUCAUUUCACCUUCCACUUUUUCUCCUUUUUUAUAUACAACUUUUCUUUCCUCCCUACAAACCAAAACCCUAGAAUCGACUCCAAUUAAGCUCUAGCCAUAGCGAUGAAACCAAACGGAAAGUCCCCUGUCUCCUCCGUCAAUGAUCACGAAGUUAUGUUCUUCAAAGAUAUCUCACUAGGUCCCCACGAAACCCAGUACGAUUUAACAGAAGCUUAAAGUGAUCAUCACUAGAUUCAGAUGUCUGAAUUGAAGGCGAGACGGUGCAGUCCACGUGUUGAGACAAGGUUUUAGCGUUUCCGACAAGCCCGAAAUGUUGAGAAAGGUGGUGAGCUCAUGGGCGUUGAUAUGCUUUCGGUUGAUGCAAGGUAACUCCCUUCCACUUAAAUUGUUAUGGCCACCGUCCCUUCACAGUUGACGCUAAUCCAAACCUCCAUCAAUGUUCAACGGUUUAACACCUUCUAAAACCUCUAUUCAAAAGCAAGCUGAGAGCUUGACUAUUACAGUAUCAUCGAUUGUGAUUCACACAAUGAUUUCCCAGCCGUUUGUUUCAAUCCUUACUCCUUACCAAUUCUGUUACUUUUUAAUCUGACAAAACAUGCUUAUUCGAUGUUUGUUUGGUGGUUUUACAGGCUGUUUUCUCUUGAGAUUGAAAAUCAUUAAUGUAGAAUGAAAUAGGAUUGUGUUGGGUUUACUAAGGAUAAAUUUAGAUAGACAUUUAUGUUGAUUCUUAAGAUUUUUUUUAAUGCACACAAGCUGUUAAACUCUAGACACAUGUUUAUGAUUUCUCCAACGGGUAAAUUGCUUGCUUGCUCAUGCUAUUGUUCGUUUAUACAAUGUUUCAACACAAAAGUUUUACUGCUUUCUCUGUUUCCAAAUAGAACGUUGUUGGUUAAUGAACCUAUAAUGGUAUCGCAAAACUGAAAAACAAGAAUGAUUUACACAAGAACUCUAGGCCUGAAUUAAGGACACCUAACCUGUUUUUUGGUGAAUCAAUAUCUGAUGCAGCUCUUCCUCCAAGUGCAACACAGAGCCAUGGGUUAAGUCUUAUCUAAGGCUAUGAUGCAGUUAUAUUACUGCAAGUUGGUUACUUGAAAGCUGAAACAAUGCUUCAAACUGCCGAUGAACAAGUCAUGACCUUAAAGAAGCAUAGUACUUUUCUGGCUCUGUUAGCAGCAAAAAAAAAUCAAUAUGCAGAGUCAGUUAGCAGAAACAAUCAUCUCUUACGCUUGAUUCGUGCUCAGGUCUGUAAGUUUGCUUCGUUUACUGAAUUUUAUUUUUUCUCAGGAUCCUUCUAAGCAUGUUUUUCAUCUUGCGACAGAUAAACUAAAAUUUGGAACAAUGACCAUGUGGUUCAUCCUUAACCCACCUGGAAAGGCAACCAUACCUGUGGCAAACGUGAAUUCUUUAAUGCAACAUAUGAGACUCAAUUCAACUUUGGCAAUGAGAUCAGUGCUGGUUGUGUUACACUGAUGGUCAUUGCUCCUCAAGUUCUUUGAUGUAUGGAGGUGUUCAGAAAAUAUAAACAGUAACGGUGCCAGAGCUUGAUUCGUCACCACAGGUCAAUACCGUACUAGCUUCUUAUUUUUAAGCAGGACCCAAGUGUGGAGGAUCCGUUGCGAUCUCCCACAAUGUCUCCCGCAUCUCCGCUCUCCCAACAGUGCUGUCAGAGCCUAAACUUUUCAGUUGCAGCUGUCUAAAUUCAAAUUCUCUUCCAACCAUCAGACAUUCACUAUCUCCGCUCUUCGAUCGCAACUGAUAUAGACACAGUAGUAGCUAUCUAACAUUGGGAUAGACGGAGGCAAUCACAACCCUGCCGAUGAUAUACCAGGAGCUACAUGUGUUUUCUGCAACAGUUCUGAGGGAAUGAAGCUCACUGGUAGCUACUGGCCUUGCUCAUGAAACACAUCAACUCGCAAGUCAAAAUGACUUAAACUUCUCAAGUUUCAGAUAUUACGACCCUAUUUACUAGCAAAUCAUGAUAUCACCUACUAUGUUUUCAAAUUAUGCGCACAAUAAAUUCGUACUUUGCACUUAUCCAAAACUUUUUGAUUUGCUUAUUUGCUACUUUUGGUCAACUUAUUAACAGAAAACAACAAUGUCCUACAAACUUAAUGAAAGGAUGAUGUUUUCUCUAUC